Molecule: ribosomal RNA, 398 nt
Filed under: uncultured bacterium
Lineage: Bacteria
Description: bacterial SSU rRNA
Rfam family: Bacterial small subunit ribosomal RNA
Source: RNAcentral
GGAAUAUUGGACAAUGGGCGAAAGCCUGAUCCAGCCAUGCCGCGUGAGUGAAGAAGGCCUUAGGGUUGUAAAGCUCUUUCACCUGCGAAGAUGAUGACGGUAGCAGGAGAAGAAGCACCGGCUAACUCCGUGCCAGCAGCCGCGGUAAGACGGAGGGUGCUAGCGUUGGUCGGAAUCACUGGGCGUAAAGGGCGCGUAGGCGGCCUUUGGUGUCGGAUGUGAAAGCCCGGGGCUCAACUCCGGAGGUGCAUCCGAAACUCGAAGGCUGGAGGCCGGAAGAGGAGGGUGGAAUACCCAGUGUAGAGGUGAAAUUCGUAGAUAUUGGGUGGAACACCGGUGGCGAAAGCGGCUCUCUGGUCCGGUCCUGACGCUGAGGCGCGAAAGCGUGGGGAGCAAAC